UGGCCGAAGUUUUCACAUUUUUAAAUGUUUCAAAAUAUAAAAAAAUAAAACACGUUUAUCUCCGAUUACGAUUAAAAUCAUCGUGCGGUGGUUCGUAACGCCGAGAUCGACGAUCAUCCAGAAAGAUGGUGAACUAUACUUGAGCAGGAUGAAGCUAGAAGAAACUCUGUUGAAUGACCGAAGCGAUUCUGACGUGGAAAUCGAUUGUCUGACUCUGGUAUUGGGGCGAAAGUAAUAGCUGGUUUCUUCUGAAGUUUUCCUU
This 262-nucleotide non-coding RNA is filed under the name Brugia pahangi. RNAcentral describes it as "Eukaryotic large subunit ribosomal RNA". It matches the Rfam family "Eukaryotic large subunit ribosomal RNA", at positions 682 to 974 of the family's 3401-position model. The record is from Rfam by way of RNAcentral. Lineage: Eukaryota; Metazoa; Nematoda; Chromadorea; Rhabditida; Onchocercidae.